RNAcentral lists this ribosomal RNA (445 nucleotides) under uncultured Coriobacteriaceae bacterium. Its description in RNAcentral is "bacterial SSU rRNA". It matches the Rfam family "Bacterial small subunit ribosomal RNA", at positions 338 to 795 of the family's 1533-position model. The record is from RNAcentral. Lineage: Bacteria; Bacillati; Actinomycetota; Coriobacteriia; Coriobacteriales; Coriobacteriaceae.
CCUACGGGAGGCAGCAGUGGGGAAUCUUGCACAAUGGGCGAAAGCCUGAUGCAGCGACGCCGCGUGCGGGACGAAGGCCUUCGGGUUGUAAACCGCUUUCAGCAGGGACGAGGCGAUAAGUGACGGUACCUGCAGAAGAAGCCCCGGCUAACUACGUGCCAGCAGCCGCGGUAAUACGUAGGGGGCGAGCGUUAUCCGGAUUCAUUGGGCGUAAAGCGCGCGUAGGCGGCCUGUUAGGUCGGGAGUUAAAUCCGGGGGCUCAACCCCCGUCCGCUCCCGAUACCGGCGGGCUUGAGUCUGGUAGGGGAAGGCGGAAUUCCCAGUGUAGCGGUGGAAUGCGCAGAUAUUGGGAAGAACACCGGUGGCGAAGGCGGCCUUCUGGGCCACGACUGACGCUGAGGCGCGAAAGCUAGGGGAGCGAACAGGAUUAGAUACCCCUGUAGUC